AUGGUCAAGCAGACGGCCCCCGUCCGUGUGGUCACACUUCUUCUCAUCAUAUGCCUACUCGCUGCGGAGGCACGAGGCCAGAUCAUCGAUGGCGGCGACGAGAAGAUUAGUUUGCCCAACGGGCUGUGCGUCCACGAUGAGGGGUCGACUUCCUGCAGUGGCGACAAGCCGUACUGCUACUGCUGUCUCCUUGGUUAUUAUUGCUACGAGACCAUGGACGCGUGCAAGGAAGAGUGCCUUAAGAAACUGUCUCGGUCCCCGUCUUCGGCCCAGAGCGGCGAUGGCAACGCCUUCCCUAUAGCUUAG
This 306-nucleotide ribosomal RNA is filed under the name Triticum aestivum (bread wheat). RNAcentral describes it as "partial small subunit ribosomal RNA". The record is from RNAcentral. Lineage: Eukaryota; Viridiplantae; Streptophyta; Magnoliopsida; Poales; Poaceae.